GCAAGUCGAAACGAGAAGUGGAGCAAUCCAUGAGUAAAGUGGCGACCGGGUGAGUAACACGUGACUAACCUGCCCUUGAGUGGGGGAUAACCUCGGGAAACCGGGGCUAAUACCGCAUAAUAUCGCAAGAUCAAAGGAGCAAUCCGCUGAAGGAGGGGGUCGCGGCUGAUUAGCUAGUUGGUGAGGUAACGGCUCACCAAGGCGAAGAUCAGUAGCCGGCCUGAGAGGGCACACGGCCACACUGGCACUGAAACACGGGCCAGACUCCUACGGGAGGCAGCAGUGGGGAAUCUUGCACAAUGGGGGAAACCCUGAUGCAGCGACGCCGCGUGAGCGAUGAAGCCCUUCGGGGUGUAAAGCUCUUUCGGCAGGGAAGAUGAUGACGGUACCUGCAGAAGCAGCUGCGGCUAACUACGUGCCAGCAGCCGCGGUAAUACGUAGGCAGCAAGCGUUGUUCGGAGUUACUGGGCGUAAAGGGUGUGUAGGCGGUUGUUUAAGUUUGGUGUGAAAUCUCCCGGCUCAACUGGGAGGGUGCGCCGAAUACUGAAUGACUCGAGUGCGGGAGAGGAGAGUGGAAUUCCUGGUGUAGCGGUGAAAUGCGUAGAUAUCAGGAGGAACACCGGUGGUGUAGACGGCUCUCUGGACCGUAACUGACGCUGAGACACGAAAGCGUGGGUAGCAAACAGGAUUAGAUACCCUGGUAGUCCACGCCCUAAACGAUGCAUAUUUGGUGUGGGCCGUUCAGUC
RNAcentral lists this ribosomal RNA (747 nucleotides) under uncultured bacterium. Its description in RNAcentral is "bacterial SSU rRNA". It matches the Rfam family "Bacterial small subunit ribosomal RNA", at positions 57 to 836 of the family's 1533-position model. The record is from RNAcentral.